This 484-nucleotide ribosomal RNA is filed under the name uncultured bacterium. Its description in RNAcentral is "partial 16S ribosomal RNA". It matches the Rfam family "Bacterial small subunit ribosomal RNA", at positions 30 to 507 of the family's 1533-position model. The record is from RNAcentral.
AUUGAACGCUGGCGGCAGGCCUAACACAUGCAAGUCGAGCGGAUGAAGGGAGCUUGCUCCUGGAUUCAGCGGCGGACGGGUGAGUAAUGCCUAGGAAUCUGCCUGGUAGUGGGGGAUAACGUCCGGAAACGGGCGCUAAUACCGCAUACGUCCUGAGGGAGAAAGUGGGGGAUCUUCGGACCUCACGCUAUCAGAUGAGCCUAGGUCGGAUUAGCUAGUUGGUGGGGUAAAGGCCUACCAAGGCGACGAUCCGUAACUGGUCUGAGAGGAUGAUCAGUCACACUGGAACUGGAACACGGUCCAGACUCCUAAGGGAGGCAGCAGUGGGGAAUAUUGGACAAUGGGCGAAAGCCUGAUCCAGCCAUGCCGCGUGUGUGAAGAAGGUCUUCGGAUUGUAAAGCACUUUAAGUUGGGAGGAAGGGCAGUAAGUUAAUACCUUGCUGUUUUGACGGUACCAACAGAAUAAGCACCGGCUAACUUCGUG